This is a long non-coding RNA of Eriocheir sinensis (Chinese mitten crab), 1798 nucleotides long. RefSeq lists it as uncharacterized. The transcript is spliced from 3 exons. Lineage: Eukaryota; Metazoa; Arthropoda; Malacostraca; Decapoda; Varunidae. The record is from RefSeq and is a predicted model, not a curated record.
AACUUUUAUUUCCAGUCUGCCGUCAAGUUGGUCGCCCCCUUCCCGCCGCUAGAGGUCGUGGCGUCUUCCGCUCCUGUGUAUUGUCAAGGCGAAGGAAGGAGAAAAAAACGGCGCCGUGUCGAUAUUCCCACACCUAAAGAUGGUCGCCCCUCGAGGCCCUCCUGCUGGUGCCUCUGCCGCCCUCACCCGCCCGGAAAAAGCCUCGGACAAGGGCCUGGCAAGAGACGGGGAGCCUGGGGUGGGCUACUCCCUCACACGCGGCCCUCAAGGAGACAUCGCUGAGGAAAACGCAUGAUUAUUUCACCGCCCCAACCUUGCCUCUCCACACACCACAAGGAAGUCUUCUUGCCCUCCAGAUUAACAAUACAGGGGCAGCGAAGGGCAGACGUUUCUUUCUACAUAACUUGUUUUGCCCUUAAAAAACCACGAACCGUACGAGCAAGAGGCUCCAUCAGCGCUCUUCUUCACAUACUCAAAGCAUCGUUACUUCAUUUAUAUAACCAUCAAGUCAAGCUAACAGGUGAAGAACAUUAGUCAAUAUGAAUGAAGGCAGUCUCUAAAAGGUGUUUCUCUCAAGCUACGAAAAGUAAAAUAAAAAGAAAUAAAGAGAUGAGUAAAUGUGAAUCGAUGCAAUCUCGGGAGGUGUCUAUCCGUUUGUCUGUAAGUGACUCUCAACAAAGCAAAAGAGAUCAAAACAUCAUACCAAAAGUGACUGAUAUACAAUAGGAAGUAAGACAAAAGAAAAUAAAGGUAUAAGCAAAUAUGAAUCGAUGCAAUCUCUAAAGGUAAGUGUCUGUCUGUUUCAAGCGACUCCGGGCGAGGCAGUCAAUCUUUUCACGCGUCCCCCCUUAGAGGCGUCGUGAUGUGAUCCAGGAGCUCGUUUUCUGCGCCACGUCCCCGCCUCGUGUGCAAUUUAGAUUUUCCUAAAAGAAUAUUCGGCAGGUUAUUAUAUGGCCAAACGAGCCCAACUUCACCUCCUCCUGCACCUCCAUCCCCUGCACCUCCAGCACUGCCGCCUCAUCUUUCAUCCCGAAUUCGACACGACAACACAUCAGGAGUUACCCAAAGAAAACGGGUCGAGGAGUGUUACUGUUUGUCAAUGUGCGGUGGUCGAGUGGUCAGCGUGCGGGCGUAGGUUCGAGUUCCACCGAUGCAAUGUGACAAUUUUCAACCAUUGCGAGUGGCGGAUUACCCUCAAGCUGCCAACAACCACAACCAAGCGACUUCCGUCAAGAGGAGCGCCGGGGGACAGGAUGAGCCAAACAGGAGCCAUGUAUCACGGUAGACACUAUGGACCGUAUUACUAAACAUUUCGUCGCCCAAGUUCACAUAUUUGACAAGGCUUUCGUAGGAGUUGUGGGCAUAUCCAGGAGUAGUUUUAUGACCCUGGUGGUAGUUUGACCCUUCUUCUGUACCAUGAACCUAAAGAAACAUGCAUUACAGCCCGACUGAUCCCCUCUUUGACCUUUAGAAAUAGCUGAUGUGAGAAGCGAUUGUCUUAUAAUACCGACCUAUAAAUCUAAUUCACCUGAGACGACAACGAGCUGGGGCAAUCCAGUAGACCCAUAAAGAAAUCCUAACGGCGCUAUGGGCAGCACCUGAACGAAUAAGAAGGAAGAAUAUAACAACAUAGAGGAGACGUUUGUAGGGAGAGAAAAAACAAAUAUGGGAUAGGAAAACAUGGACUAUAGAUAAAAUAUGAAAGGCUAAUCAAAGGUAAUGAGAUAAAAUUCAGACUUCGAGGACGAGAACCACCAUCACCACCACCGCUACCAAAAGCAUAAACAACGAUGAUGAC